CUGUUCUCCAUCCACUUCACCUUAUUUUCGUAGCUGUAGGUUUUACCGACUCUCCAGACAGGUGAUGCGAGUCAAUAGCGCACCGUUGAACGCGUGGGAGAGACUCAGCCUAUCUCAUUACAGCCGCGAACUUCAUCUGGUACAAGAGUCAUGUCUUGUGUGAGACUGCAGUUAUUUCAACUUCUUGAGGAGCAGGCAUGGAUACAGCGCGGGCAGCCAGGGCGCAUAUUAUCUGGACAUUGAUAGCUUUGGUCUUUAUUUUAAUCGCGUCGUGCUUGACGUAUGUCUUCAUGUCGAAGGUGUCUGGAUGCCAAAGAAUUAGAAUCGUGAAUGCUCGUGGCUACAAUCAGACAGGUGAUUGCUUGAUCUGGGAGGAUGAGUGGCACGGAUACAGGGAUAAGAAUGAGAGUAUUCUGGACCACACCAACAUGUCGAUGAUCAUUCGAGAGAAAGGUGUCUACCUGGUCUACAUACAAGUUAACUUCCAACUGAACCCACAGAAGAACAGCAGCUCUACUGUAGAACUCAAAAUUUUAGUGUAUUUCAGUUCUGAUGGGGAGAAGCAGCUAUUUGCAGCCGCACACGACACUCAGGUGGUGAUUGACUCACCUCAGGACGCCAAGCUCAACACUUUCCUUCUGAUGAAAAUGCAGCCAACAAGCCAGUUAUCUGUGAGAGUAUUUCCGAGUGAAUUUGUGAACUGCACACCACAACCCUUUUCCAGUUUUAUCACUAUCAUAAAAUGGGCAGACGACUGGUAGAUUGUUGCAUAUAUUGCAGAAGUUAUUGGCUUUCCAGGUGAAAACCAUAUCCAUGUCCAGUUUUUACAAUGGCGGUUGUUCUUAUAUUCUUGUUAGCUUUAAAUGUGACAUUUUAGGAAGAAUGCGGUCUCAAGAUCAGCUGCUAGAACACCUGAGAUUUUCCAGCUGUUUGUUGUACUAGGAAAUGCUCGCUGACAUUAACAAGGAUUGCGUGGGGGGUUGUGAUACUUUCUUGGUGUUUUUCUUCUUCCUUUCGAAAUAUGAAGAUCACAUCUCAUGAUCUUCUCAGAAGCAUGACACAUUUUCCUCUCAACAGAUAUAUGUUAGGUUUGUUUUGUCUCAGUUUUUUUAUGAGUCAAGACGAAAAAAAGGGCACGAUAUACUGUUAAUGAGCACUGACUUUGAAGAUUCUCAUGUAUUACGUACAUAAAAGAUGUCAUAAGUGCCUGCAAACGAACAUUGUUUUACUAAACAAUAGUAAGCUAAUUCUGAGCAAGUGGGUAUUUCUUCAGUGAAAUGCAUCUUCCUGUAUAUAUAAUCAUACAGUUUUUUUUAAUCAUCGACAGCUGAAUGUAAAAACCUCGUAACCUAUCUUUGUCUAGCAUCAGUGUUUGAUAUAAAUGUUCAUUGUAUCAAAAGCUAUGGAGCAAUAUUUUAUUGUGUAAAUAUGUGCUUCUUUGCAAGACAAGAAACCAGCAUUUUUUUCAAAGUUCUUGAAAUGUGGAGCUAGUUUUUAGCUGUAAGCAGAUUCAUCCAGCCACAGAAGCAUUUAUUUGUUCAUGCAGGGAUGUCAUGGAAUUUUUUUUUUUUCUUAUGGGGGUGACUAGGGGUGGUAGUGGUGGGGUUUUUUUCCACAUUAAAAAAAACCCACUAGUUACACUAAUCCAAUCAGUCAAACAAGCCAUAUGAAUCUGAACAACAUCAGCUGUUUUAAUAAGACAGCGGAGUGUUUUUCUUUUCCAGCGAGUGGGAAAGUUUCUUUUUCAAACCCAGUAUUUUUUCAGUCAGGAAAAUACCAUUUAUGAUGAUGCAUACUUUUUUGUAUUCGGAUGAAUCAAACCUGCUGGCUAAGUCUUAAGAAUAUUUUGAAAUAAGAGACUAAACGUAAUGAUUUUUUUUUUUUUAAUGAAAGUUUUGUUCUUUCACAGCUAAGCCCU
This 1918-nucleotide long non-coding RNA is filed under the name Sinocyclocheilus anshuiensis. Its description in RNAcentral is "lncRNA (ENSSANG00000001572.1)". Lineage: Eukaryota; Metazoa; Chordata; Actinopteri; Cypriniformes; Cyprinidae. The record is from RNAcentral.